RNAcentral lists this ribosomal RNA (301 nucleotides) under uncultured bacterium. RNAcentral's name for it is "partial 16S ribosomal RNA". It matches the Rfam family "Bacterial small subunit ribosomal RNA", at positions 509 to 807 of the family's 1533-position model. The record is from RNAcentral.
CAGUCGCCGCGGUAAUACGUAGGUGGCAAGCGUUGUCCGGAUUUAUUGGGCGUAAAGCGAGCGCAGGCGGUUUCUUAAGUCUGAUGUGAAAGCCCCCGGCUCAACCGGGGAGGGUCAUUGGAAACUGGGAGACUUGAGUGCAGAAGAGGAGAGUGGAAUUCCAUGUGUAGCGGUGAAAUGCGUAGAUAUAUGGAGGAACACCAGUGGCGAAGGCGGCUCUCUGGUCUGUAACUGACGCUGAGGCUCGAAAGCGUGGGGAGCGAACAGGAUUAGAUACCCCUGUAGUCCCUGUCUCUUAUAC